CCGCCCCCUCCGGAAGCGGAAGUCCCGCCUCUCUCGUAGCCCGCCCCUGACCCUAUCGCGGGGCGGGGGCAGAGUCCGCUGUCCGUCAGUGCAGCUGCAGUUGCGAGCAUGGCUGCCCCGUCUGGAGAGCAGAUUUACAGAGAGGUGCAGGAUUAUUAUGGUAAAGAGUUGCAGAAAUCAGAGGAUCUGCAAACCAACGCCUGCGUCACCUUGGCUAGGCCUUUGCCCACGUUCAUAAAGGAGGCUCUGAAGUGUGUCCAUGAUGAUGUUGUGUCAAGGUACUAUGGCUGCGGCCUGGUGAUCCCAGAGUGCCUGGAGACCUGUUGGAUAUUGGAUCUGGGGAGUGGGAGUGGCAGGGAUUGCUAUAUGCUGAGUAAACUAGUUGGGGAGAAAGGGCAUGUCACUGGAAUAGACAUGACCGACACCCAGGUAGAAGUGGCAAAGAAGCACAUUGACUAUCACAUGAAGAAAUUUGGCUACCAGGUGCCUAACGUGGACUUCAUCCAUGGCUACAUGGAAAAGCUGGGAGAUGCUGGCCUUAAAGAUGAGAGUUAUGAUAUAGUUAUCUCAAACUGCGUGAUUAACCUCUCGCCUGAUAAGAGAGCAGUCCUGCAGGAGGCCUAUCGAGUGCUAAAGGCUGGUGGAGAGAUGUAUUUCAGCGAUGUCUAUGCCAGCUGUGACCUGCCUGAGGACAUCAGGAAACACAGGGUCCUCUGGGGCGAGUGCCUGGGAGGAGCCCUGUGGUGGAAGGACCUCUACAGAAUUGCUGAGGAAGUUGGAUUCUGCCCACCACGCUUGGUGACCGCCAGCCGAAUAACCAUCAAUAACAAGGAACUGGAGAGUGUUGUUGGUGACUGUCAGUUUGUCUCUGCAACUUUCCGUCUCUUCAAAGUACCCAAGAAAGGCCCGGCCGAGCGGUGCCAGGUUAUUUACAACGGCGGGAUCACUGGGCAUGAGAAAGAGCUGGAGUUUGAUGCCAAUUUCACAUUCAAGGAAGGGGAGGUUGUGGAAGUGGAUGCAGAAACUGCAGCCAUUUUACAGAGCUCCAGGUUUGCCGAGGAGUUCCUGAUCCGACUGGCUGCAGGGAGGGCACCUGGGGGCUGUUGUCCUGCAAAAGUAAAGGAGAAGAUCGUUGAUCCGUUCCAAUUAGUGGAGCAUCUGGAAGCAAAGGACCUCGCUCCCAAGCCAGCGGGCUGCUGCGGCCCCAAAGGGUGCUGCUGAAAAGCUGAGUAUCUAGCAGCAGGAGCCAGCAGAGCAGAGGCUGAAGGAUCAGAGCUGUUUUUGUUACUCAUCGCUGAACAGCAAUUAAAAAUUAAUAGCGGGGGUAAUGAAGCUGAGCACUUCACGGCUUCACAGCACUGCGCAGAAUAUGGGGAUCAGUGAGGUUCUACCGUAUGUACAUCACCACUGAAAAGCAGCCACCUCAGGGGUGGAGACAGACAGCUACUGGUGCCCAGCAACAGAGGGAGAGGGAACACUUUGGCCAAAGACACUGGGCAAGCCCCUUACUUGGAAAGAGUCCUACAAUCUUCAACGUCCAUGCAGAAUUAGCCUUUUAUGAUCUCAUACAAAGAACCCCACCCAGUUGAUUUACCUUGGAAGGCCGGGCUCAGCCAGCCCUGCAGCGAUUCAACUCCACAGCUGUGGGAGAGUCUAGGUUCUAUGGAGCUAGGGGACGAGAGCUCAGGAAGCGUGGCUGAACUUUGUGACUUUGUCCUCACCCACGACUAUUUCACAUUUGGGGACAAUGUAUACCUUCAAGUCAGUGGCACUGCUAUGGGUACCCGCAUGGCCCCACAGUAUGCCAACAUCUUUAUG
RNA transcript from Mauremys mutica (yellowpond turtle), 1818 nucleotides. It is a transcript of the gene named arsenite methyltransferase, with no coding region annotated. Lineage: Eukaryota; Metazoa; Chordata; Testudines; Geoemydidae. The record is from RefSeq and is a predicted model, not a curated record. The transcript has 12 exons.